UAGUGGCGGACGGGUGAGUAACACGUGAGCAAUCUGCCUUUCAGAGGGGGAUACCGAUUGGAAACGAUCGUUAAUACCGCAUAACAUAAUUGAACCGCAUGAUUUGAUUAUCAAAGAUUUAUCGCUGAAAGAUGAGCUCGCGUCUGAUUAGCUAGUUGGUAAGGUAACGGCUUACCAAGGCGACGAUCAGUAGCCGGACUGAGAGGUUGAUCGGCCACAUUGGGACUGAGACACGGCCCAGACUCCUACGGGAGGCAGCAGUGGGGAAUAUUGCACAAUGGAGGAAACUCUGAUGCAGCGAUGCCGCGUGAGGGAAGAAGGUUUUAGGAUUGUAAACCUCUGUCUUCAGGGACGAAAAAAGACGGUACCUGAGGAGGAAGCUCCGGCUAACUACGUGCCAGCAGCCGCGGUAAUACGUAGGGAGCGAGCGUUGUCCGGAAUUACUGGGUGUAAAGGGAGCGUAGGCGGGAUCGCAAGUCAGAUGUGAAAACUAUGGGCUUAACCCAUAAACUGCAUUUGAAACUGUGGUUCUUGAGUGAAGUAGAGGUAAGCGGAAUUCCUAGUGUAGCGGUGAAAUGCGUAGAUAUUAGGAGGAACAUCAGUGGCGAAGGCGGCUUACUGGGCUUUAACUGACGCUGAGGCUCGAAAGCGUGGGGAGCAAACAGGAUUAGAUACCCUGGUAGUCCACGCCGUAAACGAUGAUUACUAGGUGUGGGGGGACUGACCCCUUCCGUGCCGCAGCAAACGCAAUAAGUAAUCCACCUGGGGAGUACGACCGCAAGGUUGAAACUCAAAGGAAUUGACGGGGGCCCGCACAAGCAGUGGAGUAUGUGGAUUAAUUCGAAGCAACGCGAAGAACCUUACCAGGUCUUGACAUCGUAUGCAUAGCUCAGAGAUGAGUGAAAUCUCUUCGGAGACAUAUAGACAGGUGGUGCAUGGUUGUCGUCAGCUCGUGUCGUGAGAUGUUGGGUUAAGUCCCGCAACGAGCGCAACCCUUACUGUUAGUUGCUACGCAAGAGCACUCUAGCAGGACUGCCGUUGACAAAACGGAGGAAGGUGGGGAUGACGUCAAAUCAUCAUGCCCCUUAUGACCUGGGCCUCACACGUACUACAAUGGCUGUCAACAGAGGGAAGCAAAGCCGCGAGGUGGAGCGAACCCCUAAAAGCAGUCUUAGUUCGGAUUGUAGGCUGCAACCCGCCUACAUGAAGUCGGAAUUGCUAGUAAUCGCAGAUCAGCAUGCUGCGGUGAAUACGUUCCCGGGCCUUGUACACACCGCCCGUCACGCCAUGGGAGUCG
Molecule: ribosomal RNA, 1297 nt
Filed under: Ruminococcus bicirculans (ex Wegman et al. 2014)
Lineage: Bacteria; Bacillati; Bacillota; Clostridia; Eubacteriales; Oscillospiraceae
Description: bacterial SSU rRNA
Rfam family: Bacterial small subunit ribosomal RNA
Source: RNAcentral